AACUUUUGACAAUGGAUCACUUGGCUCUCGCAUCGAUGAAGAACGCAGCGAAAUGCGAUAAGUAAUGUGAAUUGCAGAUUUUCAGUGAAUCAUCGAAACUUUGAACGCACCUUGCGCUCUCUGGUAUUCCAGAGAGCAUGCCUUUUUGAGUGGCUUUGAAUCAUCAACUCGACCGGCUUUGCCCGUUAGCGUUUAGAACAGGAGCGUGCCGGCCCCUUGAAGGUGUCGGCUCCUCUCGAAACGAUUAGCGAACCCUGCGAGGCGAAGAAUCUUUUUAGUAUGAUAGAUGUAUAGGCCGCAGCCGUCAAGCCCCGCGGGCGCUUACAAUGGUCCCUAGGGACGACUUGGCCUUGCUGGCCUCAUUAUGUCUCGACCUCAAAACAGGCAGGACUACCCCCUGAAUUUAAGCAUAGCUAAACGGGGAGACU
RNAcentral lists this unclassified non-coding RNA (428 nucleotides) under uncultured Agaricomycetes. RNAcentral describes it as "sequence contains ITS2". The stretch from base 1 to 155 matches the Rfam family "5.8S ribosomal RNA". Lineage: Eukaryota; Fungi; Basidiomycota; Agaricomycetes. The record is from RNAcentral.